GAGGUUGUGGCUCAGCGGUAGAGCACUCGCCUAGCAUGUGCGAGGCCCUGGGUUCAAUCCUCAGCACCACA
This 71-nucleotide transfer RNA is filed under the name Marmota monax (woodchuck). RNAcentral describes it as "tRNA.Ala". It matches the Rfam family "tRNA". From Rfam's summary of the family: Transfer RNA (tRNA) molecules are approximately 80 nucleotides in length. The record is from RNAcentral. Lineage: Eukaryota; Metazoa; Chordata; Mammalia; Rodentia; Sciuridae.